RNAcentral lists this long non-coding RNA (1064 nucleotides) under Homo sapiens (human). Its description in RNAcentral is "PDK4 antisense RNA 1". Lineage: Eukaryota; Metazoa; Chordata; Mammalia; Primates; Hominidae. The record is from RNAcentral.
AGAGUCAACAAGGGGAAGUUUAGUAGGUGAAGGGUCACUGCUGCCGAGCAGCAAUAACUUUCCAUGCCUCAGCUCCCAGGCAUCUAGUUUCUGUUCAUGGAAAUAGAGCUCACUAGGGGAAAGGUCGGGGAGACCAAGGCGUCUCUAUCAUAGCCCUGAUCUGACACUGUGUUCUUGCAUGAGGCUCAGCUACUCACUGUGUUCUUGCGUGAGUCUCCUGGCUGUUAGGAAUUCUGCUGCUCAAGUGGAAAAAACAGAUUGCAAAGUACUUCAUAGAUCACCCUGUACUGAGUAUGGCAAACUGAUCAACAGCCUACUUACUGCUACAUUUAUAUUAUUUAAAAUAACUGCCAGCUCAGCUGAUUCCGCAGGAUGUUGUGGCUGUGAACUGGGAAGCCUGCCAUGCUAUUAUUUUGAAAAGUGCUGUGCAAACAGUGUUCCUCUCAGAUGGUUUCCAGAGUUAGUUCCUUACAAGCAUUUCCUCUUGAAACAUCGGGAAUCUAAAUAAAGAGAAAGGUGUCUAAUGGUCUAGUCUACCAACUUCACUAUGCUGAUUUAUGAAAGAAUUGCUGAAACCCAGUGAAUAAUAGCAUUUGCCCUUCUUUCUCAAAAAAGCAGCAUUUGCUUUCUUCUGGCAAGGAAUAAUUAAGCUAAUUUCUCCAUGAACCUUGGAAAAAGUGGCAACGAAUAAUGGAUUUGUCCCUCAAAGAACAUUUCAAGCAAACAUCUUAUCAGCUACAAAUUCAUUUGAGGCAGUUCCAGGUCAGCCACAGGCAAUUUUUCUCAUUAAAAUACUGUUUAAACUGUUGUAUCCAGAUGACACAGGAGACAUAUCAGACAAACAACACCUGCAAGAAGAAUUGGUGAAGUAUUGACUUUUCAUCAAUCAAAAAGUUUACUAAGCAGAUGAAAAUAAUUUGCCUUCACAGUGACAUUUUCCUGACGUCUUGCUAGUACUUAAAGGCAUUGUUUUUUCUUUAACACCCAAACUUUAAUUACCAGAAAAGGUUAGCAUCAAAACAAAGGACAUGUUGGUAAUUUAGAGGCCAUAUCAGAAAAAUAAA